GACGAACGCUGGCGGCAUGCCUAAUACAUGCAAGUCGAGCGAAUGAUGAAGAAGCUUGCUUCUUCUGAUUUAGCGGCGGACGGGUGAGUAACACGUGGGCAACCUACCCUGUAGAUUGGGACAACUCCGGGAAACCGGGGCUAAUACCGAAUAAUCCAUUUCCUCUCAUGGGGAAAUGUUAAAAGACGGUUUCGGCUGUCACUACAGGAUGGGCCCGCGGCGCAUUAGCUAGUUGGUGAGGUAACGGCUCACCAAGGCGACGAUGCGUAGCCGACCUGAGAGGGUGAUCGGCCACACUGGGACUGAGACCACGGGCCCGG
Molecule: ribosomal RNA, 320 nt
Filed under: uncultured bacterium
Lineage: Bacteria
Description: bacterial SSU rRNA
Rfam family: Bacterial small subunit ribosomal RNA
Source: RNAcentral